This 292-nucleotide ribosomal RNA is filed under the name uncultured bacterium. RNAcentral's name for it is "partial 16S ribosomal RNA". It matches the Rfam family "Bacterial small subunit ribosomal RNA", at positions 505 to 796 of the family's 1533-position model. The record is from RNAcentral.
GUGUCAGCAGCCGCGGUAAGACGAACCGUGCGAACGUUGUUCGGAAUCACUGGGCUUAAAGGGCGCGUAGGCGGGUUAGCAAGUCCGGGGUGAAAUCUUUCGGCUCAACCGGAAAAGUGCCUCGGAUACUGCUGACCUGGAGUGAGGUAGGGGCCGCGGGAACUUCCGGUGGAGCGGUGAAAUGCGUUGAUAUCGGAAGGAACGCCGGUGGCGAAAGCGCGCGGCUGGCCCUCAACUGACGCUGAGGCGCGAAAGCUAGGGGAGCAAACGGGAUUAGAUACCCCGGUAGUCC